GGAUUUUUGGUUGCUUACGCCAUAUUCAAUGAGGUGCAUCAGAAAAAGCCAUCAACUCCGUGGCCGAUAAAAUUGUGGAAGAGGUAUGUGCGAUUGACCGGACCGCCAGUUUUGCUCGUACUGGUGUUGUUCGUGUACCCGGCCUUAAUGAACGGGCCAGUAGCGGACCACAUCAAAGAAGACAUGUUGCUCAAGCCGUGCCAGAGCUCCUGGUGGACACCCCUGGUGCACGUCAUAAAUGUUCAGCGCAUACGAAAAAUGUGUGCAGGCCACCUGUGGUUUCUUUCGUGUGAUUUCCAG
This is a long non-coding RNA of Dermacentor albipictus, 300 nucleotides long. RefSeq lists it as uncharacterized. Lineage: Eukaryota; Metazoa; Arthropoda; Arachnida; Ixodida; Ixodidae. The record is from RefSeq and is a predicted model, not a curated record.